AGUUUGCAUUUUCACUCUUAAGUUGCUUCAGAAGAACGUGAAUGACCUUGAGAUGGAUGCCACAGUGGGGAGAGCUGUUUAUACAGCAGUAUUGAUCUAGAUCUUCAGUGACCUCAACCUUCCAUUGGACAGGCUGCCAUCAUUCUGCCA
Colossoma macropomum (tambaqui) is the source of this 150-nucleotide long non-coding RNA. RefSeq lists it as uncharacterized. The transcript has 3 exons. NCBI's taxonomy places the organism in Eukaryota, Metazoa, Chordata, Actinopteri, Characiformes, Serrasalmidae. The record is from RefSeq and is a predicted model, not a curated record.